RNAcentral lists this transfer-messenger RNA (354 nucleotides) under Thermovibrio guaymasensis. RNAcentral's name for it is "Standard tmRNA". It matches the Rfam family "transfer-messenger RNA". Rfam says of the family: Bacterial tmRNA, also known as 10Sa RNA or SsrA, is named for its dual tRNA and mRNA-like properties. Its role is to liberate the mRNA from a stalled ribosome. The record is from RNAcentral. Lineage: Bacteria; Pseudomonadati; Aquificota; Aquificia; Desulfurobacteriales; Desulfurobacteriaceae.
GGGGGUGAACGGUUUCGACGGGGAUGCAAGGGCUCAGGUAGUGGCAGGCCGAGGAGCCAACCUCGUAAAAAAGGCACCCAAAAUAGUUGCCGACGAAACACUCGCUCUCGCUGCCUAAUUAGACGCAGCGACGCCCUCUGGAGCUCCGCCCGUCGGCUCCAGUAAGGGCGACAGAGAGGCGGGCUUGGUAGUUCCCUCUCGCCCUCGGAGGGGCUACGACACCUUAGAGGGCUGGCUUCAGGGCGCCUGCCCGUGGGCUAACCCUGAAGCGAGAACUUGAAACACGGGCUAAGCCUGUAGAAGCUACCUGGGUCGCAUCUCCGGACGCGGGUUCGAAUCCCGCCACCUCCACCA